Selaginella moellendorffii is the source of this 3947-nucleotide RNA transcript. It is a transcript of the gene named WD repeat-containing protein 70, with no coding region annotated. The record is from RefSeq and is a predicted model, not a curated record. Lineage: Eukaryota; Viridiplantae; Streptophyta; Lycopodiopsida; Selaginellales; Selaginellaceae. The transcript is spliced from 14 exons.
ACCACGACAUGGCCGCAAAUCGGCCAAGAACCCUAGAAAUAUUUUCCUCCCUUUUCUCGUUUAGGGUUUUGUGGGACAAGGGAAGAAUGUCCUCCGACGAAGAUGACGCGCGAGAGAUGGCUCAGAUGCGCGCCAUCGCCAAAGCUCAGCAUCGGUCCAAUGGGCGUGCUGCUGCUACUCCUUCUGCGAAUACCAUGGAGGAGUUUUACGAGGCAGACCAGCUGAGAGGCCACUUUCCCUUGUCUUUUGGAAGGCAAGAGAAGUCGAUAGCAUCUGUAGAGGCUGUCCACACGCUCACAAAGCGAUCGAGCAGCGAAGACGAGUCCCAGCUUAACAAAAAUCUUAGCGAGCGUUUGAAGAAAGUAGCGGAAGCUAACCAUAACUUGGAGCGUCCAAGCGAGCAAAGUUUGAGCACUCGAGAAGAUGGCUCUAUGGUUGGGCCGCCGAGACCAGAGGAGGAAGAGGCAGCAGCAGAAGAAUUGAUUGGACCUCCUAGACCGUCUACGGUUGCUCUAAGUGAUGAGAAAGAUGAUACCGAGCCUGCGUUGGUCGGUCCUCCUCGACCAAACGAUGGAGCUGGCAGUGAUAGUGACGAAGAAGAAGAAGAGGACGACGACGAAUAUCAUGUUCCUCUAAGCAAUGAGAUUAUUCUCGGGGGACACACAAAGGUUGUUGCCGCUUUGGCCAUUGAUCCCUCUGGGUCCAGAGUUUUGACAGGGAGCUACGACUACUCGAUCCGGAUGUAUGAUUUCCAAGGCAUGGAUUCCCGUCUGCAGUCGUUCAGGCGGAUUGAGCCGUUUGAAGGACAUCAGAUGCGAGCAAUUAGCUGGAGUCCCUCGGCGGAUCGUUUUCUUGCUGUGACAGGGUCUGCAAGAGCCAAGAUAUUUGACAGAGACGGUCUGUCAUUAGGCGAAUUCAUCAAAGGGGAUAUGUACAUACGGGACUUGAAGCACACUAGCGGGCAUAUUUCUGGUUUGACGGGUGGUGAGUGGCAUCCGUCGGAGAAGAACACGAUAUUAACAUCGUCGGAAGAUGGAUCAUUACGAAUAUGGGACGUGACCAACUUGAAAUCUCAGAAACAGGUCAUCAAGCCUAAACUUGCAAGACCAGGUCGUGUUUCUGUUACGGCUUGCGCAUGGGGUUUAGAAGGAAAAACGAUCGCGGGGGGAUUGGCAGAUGGAUCCAUCCAGAUCUGGUCUAUCAAACCAGGAUGGGGCAGCCGUCCGGAUAUUUAUCUGAGUAAGGCCCAUGCCGCGGGUGACGACGUAACUGCGAUCCGGUUUUCUGUUGAUGGUUACACAAUGGUUUCCAGGAGCACCGACGCUACUCUAAAAGUUUGGGACAUCCGGAAAGCUCGAGAACCUCUGAAGGUGUUUUCAGGGCUUCCUUGUUUUUACGCACAAACGAAUUUGGCCUUCAGUCCAGAUGAGCACCUAAUUCUAACUGGUACUUCUGUUGAGAAGGGAGGAAAUGCCGGUGGACAGCUUUACUUCUUUGACAAAAGGCAACUUGAGAUUGUUCGGAAAACCGGGAUAUCCUCGUCAGGAAGUGUUGUUUGCUGUACUUGGCAUCCGCGAUUGAAUCAGAUAUUUGCCACUACGGGCGACAAAAGAGAAGGCAAUACUCACGUGUUGUACGACCCGGUUUUGAGCAAGAGAGGAGCGCUGGUUUGUGUUGGGCGGGCUCCACGAAAAAAAUCCGUGGACGACUUUGAAGCUCCACCAGUGGUUAGAAAUCCGCAUGCUCUGCCUAUGUUCAGAGACGAACCAAGCCGCAAGCGUCAACGAGAAAAGGCUCGAAAUGAUCCUCUGAAAUCCCGGAGACCGGACUUACCCAUCAAUGGUCCUGGUCAUGGUGGUCGUGUGGGUGCGACAAAGGGAAGCUUGCUCACUCAAUACUUACUGAAGGAGGGUGGAGCAAUGACGGAGAACUGGAUGGAGGAGGAUCCUCGGGAAGCAAUAUUGAAGUAUGCCGAACUUGCUGCAAAAGAUCCCAAGUUUAUUGCUCCUGCAUACGCACAAACUCAGCCGGAACCAGUUUUUGACACAACUGUUUCGGACGAGGAAGAGAAAUGAACAAACUUGUACCAGAUUACAGGCCACACAGCUUGGCGUCGAUCAGGUUAGUGUUCCUACGCAACCAGAACUUCGCCCGUAUGUAAUUUUUCUUUGCUUGCAACAACAGGUUGCCUCAUUCAUCUUUCGUCUCCCGUCCAGAAGUUUUUUUGCUUCGGUCCAGUGGGACCUUCUUCGCCAGACAGUUCGUUCGGAAACCUGUUAAAGAUAUCUUCGAUGGACCUCCUUAUCUUUUUGGGAAGGAAUUUGAACACCUUUUCCAGCUCGGUCCUGGAGUUAUACUGGAUCUUGGGGCCCCAUUCACGCAUGAACUGGAGCCAAGGUGGCUCCUCUACACCCAAGUAAGCUGCAGAUAUCAGCUGGUGUUUACUAACGUCCCAGGUGAAGCUGCUCCGCUUUGUAUCGUUGCGUAUCCCGAGCCCGCGUUCUUCGUCGCCUUGGAGGUUGUCUCCCGGAUGAGCAUAAAGGGCAUGGCCGUGCUUGGACGCGUACACAAACGGCCUAUAGGUGGUGGUGCUAUCAAACUCCAAGUCGGAAGGCUGAUACCAGGUGCCGGAGCUGUGGUGUCCGAGAUAGACGCUGGACAAAUUCCCGGUGAAGUUGUCCACGCGAAGGGUCAGGUGCUCCCAGUCAGAGACGUGCUCCCCGAUUUUCCCGAGCUUGACGCUGAUGAGCCCGACUUUGAGAGUUGCCGGGCCGUUGAAAGGAUAGUAGAACCAGAACUGCAUGUCGGUGAACGUUCCGCCAAAUACAGGCUUGACGUGCAGCUGCAGCAUCGCGUGGCAAGUCGAGCCAGUAGCUCCCGUCGUUGGUCUCGCCACCCGGCAGAUUCGCACCGUUCGCAGUGAUUUGUACCGGAGCGGACGGGUUCUGUUUGCUGUAGAGCAGAGCUCCGUUUUGGAAGAACCACUCGACGGAGCAAGGGAAGAAGUCUUCGUCCGGAUGCAGGAACAUUAUCGGGGCGUAGCGCUUGACGAGAGCAUCGAGCUGCUGCAAGCUAGGCAUGGAGGAAGGCAGAUCGAAGCUCACGUUUUGGAGCGUGGCUAUGGAAGGCAGAGGGGAUGAAGAGAACGAGGAACAGUAGAAGGUGCCGGUACUCAGCCCCUUGGCCGUGACUCCCACCUCACGCGGCCGUGUUUGCCAGACGUAGAAGCUUUCCACGGUGUUGUUGUCGGCGACGCUCCUACUGCUCAUUAGAAGUCUACUCCACAGGGACUGGAACAAUCCGGUGAAAACAGAAGAGGAAGAACUGGACACGGAAGAGGACGAAGAGGCCCAGAUGGAGUUGGAGAUAGUGGCAUCGCUGGUGAGAUCCUCUCGAACGCAGGCAACCUCGUCCACACCAGGCUUGGCGACGCUGGCGACGAAGCCGAGUGCCUUGUAACCAGCGGGAGGCAGAGACGAGUGAGUAGUCGACGGGUGGAGCGAGAGGAGCUGGUUUGGAGGCACCGGCGGUGACGCCGCUGCCUCGCACUAACAGCAGCAAGCUAUCAGGCUUGUAAAAGAGAGCUCUUCCAUCGCUCGUCUCCCAGAUCUUCUCCAGGUGCUCGGCCUCGAGGACCUCGAUCUCUCCAAGCGGAAUCACUCGGGUGCCAAAGCCUCUGGGUUUGCUGUCCAUUGCGCGGUGCUGCGGUGGCACAUUCCAGGAAAACUUUUGCUUCGGCCUUUAAAGAUCACACAUAGCGAGGCCGAGUCUUGGCACAGACGUGGCAGUAAUCGUGACGGUUGAUAUUGGUUGGUGUAAGAUUGCAAGAUACGUAUAUUACUUGCGAUUGUACAAAGAGUCUUUGACGAGCGCUUCAAGGGAGCGAGCUCGAGGGGAUUAUUAGCCUAUAUUCUCUUGAUAAAACAUUCUUAUCAUCACUAUAAAAA